RNAcentral lists this long non-coding RNA (927 nucleotides) under Homo sapiens (human). RNAcentral describes it as "HSALNT0347871". Lineage: Eukaryota; Metazoa; Chordata; Mammalia; Primates; Hominidae. The record is from RNAcentral.
ACACUUGAAAGAUUUGUUCUGAAUGUCCAGUGGGAACCUGGAAAUCGUAAUAAUUUGUAGUAUCGAUUGAGUGAAGCUAUGCAGCUGGGGCCUCCAGUGAAUAGACAGGAAUAGACAUUUUAUUGAUUAACUUUUACAGUCAUAUUUUCAAGACUCCGCUGCAACAUAAUUUUCACUUCCAAGCUUUGUGUUGCUGCAUCAUGAAACUUGGAUUCUUCUCCUUUAACAUUUACCCACUUGAGGAAAAAAGUAUGGACAUGUCUCGCCAGGGCUGUAUUCUGCAGAGGUGUGUAACUUUCCGGGAAAUGAUUUUUCUCAAGUGAUACUCUACCACAAAUAGUAAAAAGAAACUAUCUGGUUAUAACAGUUUUGGAAAUAUCAUUAUGGCAGCUAUUUGACUGUCCUCACACUGUCACCCAGGCUGGAGUGCACUGGCGCGAUCUCGGCUCACUGCAACCUCUGCCUCCUGGGUUCAAGCGAUUCUCCUGCCUUAGCCGUGAUGUUCAGUUUCUAAUACUAAUCACCUAUUUUACCGUCUUUUACAACUUCGUUGUAGGAGGUGUGAAAGAGGAGGGAAAUUGUGUUGGAAGAGGAGAUUAGGACAUCAAGAGACACCAAGAGUAACCAUGUACAGAGAAAAACAUCAUAUGAAGACACAGCAAGAAGGUGGCCAUCUGUAAGCCAAAGAGAGGCCUCAGAAGAAACCAAAUCUGCUAACACAAUCAUGGACUUUCAGCCUCCAGGACUGUGUGAAAAUAAAUUUCUGCUGUUUAAGCCACCCCAGUGUCUGGAAUUCUAUGGCAGCCCUAGCAAAUAAAUACAACUACUAUCAGUAUUAUUUGUCUUUUUAUAUUACUCUACAGUGUCAAGCCAAAUUUAAUUUUUAAAAUAAUGAUAUCUCAUAUCCACUUAAGCUAAAUAGGGCCC